Molecule: ribosomal RNA, 446 nt
Filed under: uncultured bacterium
Lineage: Bacteria
Description: bacterial SSU rRNA
Rfam family: Bacterial small subunit ribosomal RNA
Source: RNAcentral
ACUCCUACGGGAGGCAGCAGUGGGAAUAUUGCACAAUGGGCGAAAGCCUGAUGCAGCGACGCCGCGUGAGGGACGACUGCCUUCGGGUUGUAAACCUCUUUCAGUAGGGAACAAGGCAUCAUUUUGUGGUGUUGAGGGUACUUGCAGAAGAAGCACCGGCUAACUACGUGCCAGCAGCCGCGGUAAUACGUAGGGUGCAAGCGUUAUCCGGAAUUAUUGGGUUUAAAGGGUCCGUAGGUGGACGAUUAAGUCAGAGGUGAAAUCUUGCAGCUCAACUGUAAAAUUGCCUUUGAUACUGGUUGUCUUGAGUUAUUAUGAAGUGGUUAGAAUAUGUAGUGUAGCGGUGAAAUGCAUAGAUAUUACAUAGAAUACCAAUUGCGAAGGCAGAUCACUAAUAAUAUACUGACACUGAUGGACGAAAGCGUGGGUAGCGAACAGGAUUAGAU